UCUACAGGUGGGCUCCUGACUUGCUAUUUUUCAAUCUGUUUAACUUUCAAUUUCUUCACCUUGUUGCUUGGUUUUUCAUUUAUUCGCCCUGUGCUUCGGGCAGGCUCCUGAAAUCACAUCAAAACUAAAAAGAAAAUUAUCCCAAACAAAUAUUAUUAUAAAGAGGUUUUAUUUGCUAGAAAAGUUAAGUUUCAAAAACAGAAAUUGAAUUUUUGUCCCAGUUUAUCAUCAGAAGACUUUUGGAAAAGUUACAUCAUACAUAUUUGCAUGUUGGAAUAAUGAAUCAAGACUCUGACCAAGAAAUGCAUCUCUUGAGAGUACAAUUGAAUAAUCAAGACUAGGAAGUGCGUCUCUUAAGAAUUAAAGUGUGGGAUUCUAACUAGAAAGUGUGUCUUCUAGAGAUACAAUUUAAGUUAAAAGUGUGUUACCUGACAAAUGAAAACUAGCAAGGAAGUGCGUCUCCUAAGUAUUAAGUGAAAUAACUCGACUAGAAAGUGCAUUUUCUAGAAAUCAAGACUCAAGUUAGGAAGUGCAUCAUCUAAAAAUCAAAAUUCAAAAUACCCAAUGAAGGAAGUGCAUCUCCUUACCAAUGUUGCUUAAAUUAUCAAAACGAGGAAGUGCAUCACCUAAAAAUCAAAAUUUGAAAUACCCGAUCAAGGAAGUGUAUCUCCUUAUCAAUGUUGCUUGAAUUAUCAAAACAAGGAGGUGCAUCUCCUUACCAAUGCCGCUUGAAUUACUUAAACAAGGAAGUGCAUCUCCUCACAAAUGCUUCUUGAAUUAACCAAACAAGGAACUGCAUCUCCUUAGAAAUGUUUUCAUGAGUUAACCAAACAAGAAAGUUCUUCUCCUUACAAAUGUUGCUCGAAUUGCCUAAACAAGGAAGUGCAUCUCCUUAAAAAUGUUGCUUGAAUUAACCGAGCAAGGAAGUGCAUCUCCUUACCAACAUCGCUUGAAUUACCAAAAUAAGGAAGUGCGUCUCUGAACAAAUUUUGCUUGAAUUAACCAAUCAAGGAAGUGCGUCUUCUUACAAAUGUCGAUCGAAUUACCAAAUAAGGAAGUGCUUCUCUUAACAAAUGUCUUUUGAAUUACUCAAACAAGGAAGUGCAUCUCCUCACAAAUAUUUCUUGAAUUAACCAAAUAAAGGAAGUGCAUCUCCUCACAAAUAUUUCUUGAAUUAACCAAACAAGGAAGUGAAUCUCCUUACAAAUGUUGCUUGAAUUACCAAAAUAAGGAAGGGCGUCUCCUAACAAAUUUUGCUUGAAUUAACCAAUCAAAGAAGUGAAUCUCCUUACAAAUGUCGAUCGAAUUACCAAAUAAGGAAGUGAGUCUCCUAACAAAUGUCUUUUGAAUUAAUCAAACAAGGAAGUGCGUCUCCUCACAAAUGUUUCUUGAAUUAACCAAAUAAAGGAAGUGCAUCUCCUUACAAUUUUGCUUGAAUUUUCCAAACAAGGAAGUGCUUCUCCUUACCAACAUCGCUUGAAUUACAAAAACAAAGAAAUGUGUUUCCUAAUAUAUGUCUCUUGAAUUGCUCUAACAAGGAAGUUCAUCUCCUUACAAAUGUUGUUUGAAUUACCCAACCAAGGAAGUGUGUCUCCUUACAAGGAAGCAUGUCUCCUAGAAAUCUUUAAUUAUGAGUUUUACCAGGGCUUUGAAUACCAAAUAUGUGCAGAAAUAUUGUCUCUUUCAUUUGUGGAAGUGCGGUAUUGCAACUUUCGAUGUUUAGACUUUGAAAUCCUUGAUUUAAAGGUUACAUGUGUUCCUAUUUCAUAAAAGAAAACUUGUUAGUUUAAAAAUAUGGUGGCUGGUUUGCGGCUUUGGCUUUCGUGGAAAUUGCUCUUGCCCCAGUCGUAUUUAAUAUUGCUUUUAAACAUUAGCAUGUGUACUGUCUUGCUGUAUCAAUGACCCAAACUCAGAUUACUAAGAGUGACUCUGAAACAAAUAUAGUAUCCCUGGUUUGUCAUGCUUCUCAGAUAAACCCUCUGAACCUUGGUAUUUCCAUGAGUUCCCAGACUUGUCGGUUGACAAAACUUUCUGCAUUCCUUGUUUUGGCUCAGAAUGAUGUCUUUAGCAUGUGCUUACCCUUUUGUCUUGCUUUGUGCAAUUGAAGAAGCUGGUAGCCAGUUCUGAAAUAUUUCUCACUCAUUUUGACACAAACUUGACUCAAAGACAAGAGAAAAAAGACAAUGACUUUUAUUUGGACAAUUGACUUAAGAAAACAAAAUAAAAAUAAAGAGAAGAAAGAAAAGACAAUGAGUGUCUCCAUUUGAAACAAAGAAAUGAAAAUUUUUUCUAGAGAUGACAGUCAACUCUAAUGAUUAUGCCAUACAUUUUGGAUUAAGCUACCUAAUCUUUCCAUCCAAACUUUCUACCAAUUGUUGUUGAGUUAAUGGCGUUGAAACUGAGAUGCUCUCUUAGGACAAUUGCAUUCAGACCUCAUUUGACUAGUGACGCCUUGAAGGGUCUUUUCCUAAGCUCACCAUUGUCUUACGGUAUCUGUGAGGGUUUUUACUAAUGAAACUCUCUUAUUCUCAUUUCUCCUAACUCAUAAUCGUCUCACGGUGCCCGUGAGGGUUUUCACCAAUAAGACUCUCUCCUUUUUAUCUCUCUCAACUUACUAUCGCCUUACGGUGCCUGUGAGGAUUUUCACCAAUAAGACUCUCUCAUAUUUUAAUUCUCUCUAGAUUCCUUAUGCUGAGAAAGACAAGUAGUUUCCAAAAUGCGUCAUCAUAUCCAUUGCAUGCUUAGCUUUAACAUUCUCAAAGAUUGAUCUGAAGGUCUUUCUUUGGUUAUAACUUGGCUUUUGGAUAGGGUUAGAAAGAAAGGAUGGCAUGAGACCCAAACGACACUUUAAGUGGGUUAGAACUUACAACUUUUGGAAUCGACUCAAACAAAUGAGGAUUAACUCAUGCCCCAGUUUCUUUUGACCGGAUGAUUCUAAAUUAUUUAUUUGGUUGGACCAAGCCCUUGACACUCUUUUUUUGGAAACAUUUUUGUCUAUUUUUUGAAACUUUUUGACUUUAUCUUUUUACUAGACACUAUUCUUUGAACUUUGCUUACUCUAUCUUGAUUCCAAAAGAGAGGGGUAUGAAAGAAAAUAACACUAAGGCUCAAAUAGGAUAAACAAAGGAUGACUCAAUGUUUGGAUAGUAGAAUGAAAUGCCUUCAUCAUAUCAAUCCUUGAGAAUGCAAGUACAUAGCAUGCAAUUGGAAGUGAGAUAUGAAGAUCAUUUGCGAUAUCUUUUUAAGUAGAUUGAGUCUGUGGUCACUACUUCUUCUGUAAACUCCACAUUUGUUGUAUAUUCCUCACAUCAAAUGACUCAUACUUUCGUGGAGCUGCUUAUCUUCUUGUUUCUCUUGAUAUAGCGAUCACACAUCCACUAUUUGACCUAAUUGUGACUUGCCUUUCGAUCGAUGACCAAGUUGUUCUUGUGAUUCCCAAAAUAAUUGCCUUAACUUGUCACCAAAUGUCUCAGCACUCUAUCUAUUUUCUCAUAUGCUCUCUUUUUCUAACUUUAACCCUCUAAUUCAAUGUUCAUGCUUAAACUGGAUUUUAAGAUCUGGCUGAAAAUUUCACUAGCAUGCCAUAUCACUAGAGUUAACAAAAAAUGUACUAUGUAAAGAAAACAAAAAAAACAACACAUAUUUAAAACACAAAGUAAAAUAAGACACUUCAUUUAGUCAAAACAAAAGAUAAAAGGGAUUGAACAUAAACAACAAAAGGAGAAAACAAGACAGAUCCCGAACUACAACCCUGAAAUAAUUCGGAGAACAGAAAAUAAAACAAAACAAGCUACCAAACCCCUUCCUACUAAGGAGAGAGGUGACUUCUCAAUUGCUUAGCCUGACAUCUUAACCACUGGUUUGCAUAUCAGCAUGACUAGAGUUUUCCUCACUGUCAAUGUCUGCACCAUGAUUAAUUUAUCUUGAAUCAUCUUUUCAAUUUCUCUUUUCAAAGCACGAAAAUCUUCAAUACUGUGACCCUGAACAUUGGAAUGAUUUGUACAUCAUACAUUAGGAUCAAAACUUCUUGAAUGUGGGUCAGGAGUAUACCCAAGGAGAGGAGUGAUCAUGUCCUGCUGUACCAAUAUCUAGAAUAAACUUACAUAUGACUCUCCAAUGGGUGUGAAGCUAUCCCUCGACUUCUGUCUCAUUUCAUUAUUUGGCUUAAAUUGAAAACCAGGCCUAGAAGGGCUCAGCAGAGUUGGCGUGCACCAGUGUGGGUAAGAUGGGGUUUGAACAUAUGGUUGCGCAUUAUACACUUGAUAUGGAGAUGGGGGAAUGGAAUAUAAUGGAUUUUGGGAAGGAUUCUGUGGAACUUGGCCAUAAACAUGGGUUUGAGCCCAUGGGUAAUUAUGGUAUGGUCCUCUUGCCCAUGCAUGUUGUCCAACUAUAAUAGAAGAUGCAUCUUCCUCAUUCUUCUUUCCUCCAACACUUCCCAAACCUUUUUGAAUUGCUUGAGUAGUCGCUUUCAAUGUUGCAAAACUCGCAAUGUGACCGGUCUUAAUUCCAUCCUCUAUCAUCUCCCCCAUUUUGAGGACCUCAAUAAAUGGCUUGCCUAAUGUAGGUAACAAGUGUUGAUAAUAUGUUUCAUCUUGCACUUGAAUAAAAACCUCCACUAUCUUGCUUUGUUUCAUUGGCGAUUUUACUCUAGCAGCUUCUUCGCGCCAUCUGAUCGCAUACUCCCUGAAACUCUUAGUAUUCUUCAUUUUUAAACUAGUUAGGGAUUUUUCGUCGGGUCAACUCCACAUUGUAUUGAAAUUGUUGCACAAAUCCAUUAGCUAGGUCAUCCCAACUAAUCCACUUGUCAAUGUCUUGAUCAACAAACCAUUCCGAAGCUAGGCCUGAAAGACUCUCCCCGAAAUAAGCCAUUAGUAGUUCUUCCUUCCCUCUAGCGCCCCUUAGCUGGUUGCAAUAGCGUCUCAAAUGUGCUACAGGAUCACCAUGUCCAUCACACUUCUCAAACUUCGGCAUUUUAACACCAAGAGGAAGAUGUACACCUGGGAACAUGCACAGAUCUUUAUAUGAGACACUUUUGUACCCCCCAAGUCCUUGAAAUUUUUUCAUAGUCAGUUCCAAAGUUCUCAAUAUUUUGGCUAUUUUCUCUUGUUCUUCUGUCAUAACAGGAUACUCAGUGUUAGGAGGAAAUUCAAGCGGUUGAAGGCAAUCGUAAGGACCAGUCGACUUAAAUGUGGGCUCGGGAGUGUAAUGCUGAUCACUAAAAAUAUUCAAUACAGGGUCACUUGUAGAGUGAGGAAUCACAACCGUUGGAUUGACAUUAAAAGCAGGAGCUCCAGACGGGAUUGGGGCUGCAAAAGCAUGAAUAGAAGGCGGAGCCAAACAUGUGGUAAUUUUGUAUGGAGGAGUGAGGAAAUGACUAUUAGAAGUGUUUGGAUACUGUUUCCCCGGAGUAGGUCCUGAUGCAUGUUGUGGCAUGUCGACCAAAAUAGGAAAUUAUGCAUGUGACACUGGAGGCAAACUAAAAAGAUAUUCCAGAUUAUCAACGGGAAAUAGAGGUGGCGGCAACCCAUUAGCCCAAGCUCGAUGCAUUUCUAUCAUUUGUUGCCUCGAUUUCGUAAUCUCUUCAUUGGCUCCUAUAUUCUCAUUCCCCAAACUUCCCAUCUGAUUAGUGACAACAAACUCGGUAUCCUUGUUGGCCAUAACUUUCUCUGUGACUUGGAGUAAUAUGGAGGACCAGCCAAAAUGCCACAAACCAAUCACCUUAAACUAAGUGGACAAGAGAUAGCAAAUGCGUUAGAGUUCAACGAUUUUUCAAAACCUCUCCUUUUUUUUUUUCUUGAAAAAAAUCAGCGAACCCUAGAAGGGCGCCUAAGUAUCUAACCCCCGAAAGGGGAAAAUCAGGUGUGCGUAGUUUGUGAAGUUUUGCCAAAAUGGCCAAUUAAACUCUUUUUUCUUUCUUGAAACAACGUGCCAAAAGAAUUGACAAAUUUUUUUUUAAGGUUUAAAUCUCUAUACAAAAUGAAACUUGUGAUUACCAAAGAAAAAUCUUUUUGAAUUUUUUAUUUUUGAAUUUCAUGUGAAAAUGAAAGUUAAACCUAUUAAAAGAAAAUCUUUUUGUAGUUUUCUUUUAAAGACGUAUAUGAAAUGCCUACUCUAAAUGGAGAGUGAAGAAAUAUUUUUGGAUUUUUUAAAUAAGAUCCCCGAACAACCAAUAGGCUGCCACGUAUCUCACUCCGAAAAGAGGAGAAUCAGGCGUGCGUAGUUCGUCCAUAUUGGACAAAUAAAGAUUAACUAAUAGACUAACCCUAACUUAAGAGACACAACCAAUGACCAAUGAAUAAAAGAAAAUAAAAAAAAAUAAAAAUUGGGUUUUUAAUUUGACACCAACAACUAUGAAAGAAAAAUCUUUUUUUUUUUAAAUUUUCGAAUUAUGAAUGCAUGGUAAAGGAAUAAAAAGAUUUUUUUUUUUUGAUAUUUUCGUUAUAUGAAAUGUACAAAACUUCUAUCAUUUUUUUAUUAUAUUUUUUUUUUUGCAUUUUCCUUUAUAAAACCUCCUAUUAUAAAAACAAAUCUUUUUUAUGAAAUUUUUGAAUUGUGAAAAACAAAAGUCAUAAAUAACUCUAAAAACUACAAAACUCUUUUUUGGACUAAUUUUUUUCUUUUUCUUUUUUCUCUUUUUUUAUUUCACACACUUUACUUUCUAACACAUGCUUUACCCCACAUCAGUCUGUCAAACGACCACGUUAUCCUCAAAGAUGCAACAUUUAGCACGUAGGAAUACUUUAGAGGUAAGUCUCCUACAAAGGAGCAGGUGGACCCGCUAGGUCUCAAUAUGAUGCACAUAAGCAUGACCUAAAGGCUGACCUACGUUGGGGUUCACUAACAAGGACAUUCGGGUGAACAUAUGGUCGAUAGUUGCUACUUAGCUUUCCAUCUACUCCAUACAACCAACGGCUCUCCCCCAAAAAUAAAGGUGACUCAACUAAAGUUCGUGCGUACGACGUGCGCUCCGAGACUUGUUGCAGAAAGAAUUGACUCGGGUUAUGCAAAUGAUGCCAGAUAUAAAGCGGUAACACAUAAGGAAAUCUGUAAACAAAGAGCACAGAACCACACAACAAUGAUUACAAUAACACAAACAAUAAUCACAAACAAUGUUUAUACACCCAUAAUGCCAAACAAAGCUGAUACGACUUCAAAAAUAAGCCCAAAUUCUAAAAUGUCCCCAGUGGACUCGCCAGAGCUGUCACACCCCUUUUUUGGACUCCAGAAGAUUAAUUUUUAAGUUCGAAAGAGUUUUAUUAUUAAGUGACCAAAAAUGAAAAUUUUGUUCCGAAAAGGAAUUUUUUUAUAAUUAAAUUCAGAGCCGCCACUAGGCAUAAUCCGGUGUGCCAAGUCACCUUUGGAAAAUUCUUUUCGAAAUGGUUUGACUCUUUAAAACAGGUUUACGAACAGAGAUUCCGGCUAAGAAAUUUUGUUGACCGAGGGGAAGGUGUUUGGCACCCCUCGAUCCCGUGGUUUGACCACGGUCGCUUGGCGGAGCGUAUAGGCUAAUUUGACAUUAUGAAUAUAUAAACCACACAAAACAUGCAAAACAAUCAAUCAAGCAAACAAGAUAAAACAAUCCAAAAUUUAGUGUCCGGUCCAAUUAUACAGUCCAAAAAUAAAAAAAUAUGUAAAAAUAAAUCCUACUCUAAAUUAAUUCUAGACUAAUGCUCUACCCGACGCCUCGGGCCUUCAUCACGAACGUCCUCUAGGUACAUGAUACCUCGGGGCAUUCCCCGGUGAAUAAAUAUAUACAGAUACUUCGGGGCAUUCCCCGGCCAAAUUAUACAAUUGAUUCAAAAGUGAUAAAAUCAAACCAUUCAAUCAAAUUUCAAACAUUCAAUCAACCCCCAAUCUGUAGAUUUGCCUAUCCGACCUACGUCUUGCCUAUUCCAAUCGGCGUAUUUUGAUACUACCAAGUUCAAUUAACAUUUAUUUCUAGCCAAAAAACUAACGAAUCAAACUAAUCAAGACUCGCUAAUUAUAUCAAGUUUUCAAUUCUUGCCCCACUUAUUCUUAAUGAUUAAACCAAUUCUAUAUACAUUUCAUCAAUCAAGUUUUCAACUUCAAAUUCAACAUCAAACUAACAAACAACGAUGAAAUUUAAUCAUGUCAAACACACAAAUCAUUCAUAAUUAUGUGGGGAUUAAGAGGUAAAAGGAUAUAAUUGGACAUCAAGUGUUUUCGAUUGACUUAAAAGGAGAAGUAAGAGUCGGUCCGAGAGCCUCAACAGGUACCAAAUCUAGACUAUGAUCCAAUCCCAACACGGAUAUGUCCAGAAUACAAUUCGAACUCAAAAAUAGUGAACACCCAAAAUAAAAUACGAAUAAAACCGAGACUGGAAGACAAAAUUCACCUGUACUAAAAUGAAUCUCUCCAGAAUUAGAUUAAAAAUCACCAGAAUUAGACCCAAAACCGGCCAAGUCGACUAAUUCGAGUCAGGUACCACGGUCAAAAUCCACAGUUACCUUUCUGUCGGAACUCCGGUGAGCUCCAACGGUGACCAAAACAUGCAGAAAGAGAACACAACAACAUUUUUUGGUGAAAAGAUCCUAUUUCUUGGCCACGAAUGCCAAAACAGUUAAACCCCAAUCCCUUUUCUCUCCUCUCUUGCUUAGACUUCUCUCCUAUUCCAUUCACUCUAUCCCUUAUCGAUCGUCAUCUCCAUCCCUCUUCUCGAUUUUACUGUUUGCCCCUACGAUUCACCUCGCCUUUGACUAUUUUUCACCUUUUUUAUGUGAUUUUUUGUAUGGGUGUGCGUGUAUAUGGCUGUAUUUGAGAGAGUAAUGGUUAGUUGUGUGUGUGUUAUUCUGUGUGUAUGCGUGAUUUCCUUAUGUGAAGAAGGAAAGAAUGUUUUUGUUUUUGUGUCCCUCCCAGAGAGAGGAAAUAAUGGUAUUUGCCUCUUUUUCCCUCCCCCCCGAAAAAGGAAGUUCUUGGCAUAUAUAUGUUAGAAUGGAAAAAUAGGGAAUUAAUUUUUCUUUUGCUGUGGGGUUCGUGAAUUUUAUUCCUUGGGUUCUUUUUUGUGUGUUGAUGUGUGGGACAUGUGAGUGGGGUGAGGGGGUAGGGGUAGGGUAGGUGAGGGUAUGGGUAUGGGGUGGUGAGGUGUGAGGUGUCCACUUUUAAUUGGAUAGGUUGUUAGGAUAAGAUAUAUUAGUUAGAGGUAUUAUUUUUGUUUAUUUUUGUAUUUUUGUGGGAUAUAAUUACAUGGGGUUGGACACAUGGUAAGGUGAACUAAAAAUGAAUAAAAUUAGACUUCGGGAGGGACAAAAUUAGGUGUCUACAUCAUGGCCCCUUUGAAUGUAAACACGAAGUGUUUUCAGAUAAACAAGUAGACAGCGAGACCAAAUUAUGACCAGACAAUUAUUCAAAGAAAGAAAGAAGGACAACCGGGUCUUGACUUAAGAAAUCCUACCUACCCAAGUUAUGAGAGAAUCAAGUCACAGGUAUUUCAAAGGAUUGAAAAGAGAAGGACUAUGCCGAGUUGGAGAGUCGAGUGAGGUUCCAUCGAGGUUCCGGUCCGACGUUCUAUUACUACAUCAAAAAUGAAAAUUACAAGUUAAAAACAUAAAUGAAAUUACAAAAUCCUAUCUAUGCAGCUUCCUCUGGACUUUUGACUGGAGUUUCAUUACCCUAUUCUUCAGGCAGGCUCCUGACUUUCAAUUUCAUCAACUUGUUGUUUGGCUUUCAAUUGUUUCACCUCGUUGCUUAACUUUAAAUUUCCUCACCCUAUUCUUCAGGCGGGCUCCUGACUUGAUAUUUUUAAAUCUGCUAACUUUCAACUUUUCACGUUGUUGCUUUGUUUUCAACUUCUUCACCUUGUUGCUUGACUUUCAACUUCUUCACUUUGUUGCUUGACUUUUCAUUUCUUCACCCUAUUCUCCAGGUGGGUUCCUGACUUGUUAUUUUUCAAUCUGUUUAACUUUCAAUUUCUUCACCUUGUUGCUUGGUUUUCUAUUUAUUCGCCCUGUGCUUCGGGCAGGCUCCUGAAAUUAUAUCAAAGCUAAAGAGAAAAUUAUCCCAAACAAAUAUUAUUAUAAAGAGGUUUUAUUUGCCAAAAAAGUAAAGUUUCAAAAACAGAAAUUGAAUUUUUACCCCAGUUUAUCAUCAAAAGACUUUUGGAAAAGUCACAUCAGACCUACUUGCAUGUUGCAAUAAUGAAUCAAGACUCUAACCAAGAAAUUCAUCUCUUGAGAGUACAAUUGAAUAAGCAAGACUAGGAAGUGCGUCUCCUAAGAAUUAAAGCGAGGGAUUCUAACUAGAAAGUGUGUCUUCUAGAGAUACAAGUUUAAGUUAAAAGUGUGUCACCUGACAAAUGAAAACUAGCAAGGAAGUGUGUCUCCUCAGAAUUAAGUGCAAUAACUCGACUUGAAAGUGCAUUUUCUAGAAAUCAAGACUCAAGUUAGGAAGUGCAUCACCUAAAAAUCAAAAUUCGAAAUACGCAAUCAAGGAAGUGCAUCUCCUAGCCAAUGUUGCUUAAAUCAUCAAAAGGAGGAAGUGCAUCACCUAAAAAUCAAAAUUCGAAAUACCCAAUCAAGGAAGUUCAUCUCCUUACCAAUGUUGCUUGAAUUAUCAAAACAAGGAAGUGCAUCUCCUUACCAAUGACACUUGAAUUACUCAAACAAGGAAGUGCAUCUCCUCACAAAUGCUUCUUGAAUUAACCAAACAAGGAAGUGCAUCUCUUUAGUAAUGUUUUCAUGAAUUAACCAAACAAGAAAGUGCUUCUCCUUACAAAUAUUGAUCGAAUUGCGUAAACAAGAAAGUGCAUCUCCUUACAAAUGUUGCUUGAAUUAACCGAAUAAGGAAGUGCAUCUCCUUACCAACACCGCUUCAAUUACCAAAAUAAGGAAGUGCGUCUCCUAACAAAUUUUGCUUGAAUUAACCAAUCAAGAAAGUGCGUCUCCUUACAAAUGUCGAUCGAAUUACCAAAUAAAGAAGUGCGUCUCCUAACAAAUGUCUCUUGAAUUAAUCAAAGAAAGUGCAUCUCCUCACAAAUGUUUCUUGAAUUAACAAAAUAAAGGAAGUGCAUCUCCUUACAAUAUUGCUUGAAUUGUCCAAACAAGGAAGUGUGUUUCCUUACAAAUGUUGCUUGAAUUAACCAAACAAGGAAGUGCAUCUCCUAACAAAUGUCUCUUGAAUUAAUCAAAGAAAGUGCAUCUCCUCACAAAUGUUUCUUGAAUUAACCAAAUAAAGGAAGUGCAUCUCCUUACAAUAUUGCUUGAAUUGUCAAAACAAGGAAGUGCUUCGCCUUACCAACAUCGCUUGAAUUACAAAAACAUGGAAGUGUGUCUCCUAAUAAAUGUCUCUUGAAUUGCUGUAAUAAGGAAGUACAUCUCCUUACAAAUGUUGUUUGAAUUACCCAACCAAGGAAGUGUGUCUCCUUACAAGGAAGCGUGUCUCCUAGAAAUCUUUAAUUAUGAGUUUUACCAGGGCUUUGAAUACCAAGUAUGUGCAGAAAUAUUGUCUCCUUCAUUUAUGGAAAUGCGGUAUUGUAACUUUGGAUGUUUAGGCUUUGAAAUCCUUGAUUCGAAGGUAACAUGUGUUCCUAUUUCAUACAAAGAAAACUUGUUAGUUUAAAAACAUGGUGGCUGGUUUGCGACUUUGGCUUUCGUGGAAAUUGCUCUUGCCCCAGUCGUAUUUAAUCUUGAUUUCAACCAUUAGCAUAUGUCACUGGCUUGCUAUAUCAUUGACCUGAACUCAGAUUAUUAAGAGUGACUCUAAAACAAAUACAGUAUCCCUGCUUUGUCAUUCUUCUCAGAUAAACCCUUUGAACCUCGGUAUUUCCAUGAGUUCCCUGACUUGUCGGUUGACAAAACUUUCUGCAUUCCUUGUUUUGGAUCACAAUCAUGUCUUUAGCAUGUGUUCACCCUUUUGUCUUGCUUUGUGCAAUAGAAGAAGCUGGUAGCUAGUUUUGAAAUAUGUCUCACUUAUUUUGACAUGAACUUGACUCAAAGACAAAGACAAGAGAAAAAUGACAAGGACUUUUAUUUGGACAAUUGACUCAAGAAAACAAAAUAAAAAUAAAGAGAAGAAAGAAAAGAUAAUGAGUGCCCCAUUUGAAACAAAGAAAUGAAAAUUUUUUCUAGACAUGAUAGUCAACUCUAAUGAUUAUGCCAUUCAUUUUGGAUUAAGCUACCUGAUCUUUCCAUCAAAACUUUCUACCAAUUGUUGUUGAGAUAAUGGCCUUGGAACUAAGUUGCUCUCUUUGGCCAAUUGCAUUCAGACCUCAUUCGGCUAGUGACGCCAUGAAGGGUCUUUUCCUCAGCUCACCAUUGUCUUAUGGUGUCUGUGAGGGUUUUUACUAAUGAGACUCUCUUAUUCUGAUUUCUCCCAACUCACAAUCGUCUCACAGUGCCCGUGAGGGUUUUCACCAAUAAGACUCUCUCAUUUUUAUAUCUCUCAACUUACUAUCGCCUUACGGUGCCUGUGAGGGUUUUCACCAAUAAGACUGUGUCAUAUUUUAUUUCUCUAUUGAUUCCUUAUGCUGAGGAAGACAAGUAGUUCCCAAACUGCGUCAUCAUAUCCAUUGUAUGCUUAGACUUAACAUUCUUAAAGAUUGAUCUGAAGGUCUUGCUUUGGUUGUAACUUGGCUUUUGGAUAGGGUUAGAAAGAAAGGAUGGUAUGAGGCCCAAACGAUACUUGAAGUGGGUAAGAACAUACAACUUUUGGAAUCGACUCAAACAAAUGAGGAUUAACUUAUGCCCCAGUUUCUUUUGACCGGAUGAUUCUAAAUUGUUUAUUUGGUUUAACCGAGUCCUUAGUAGGGCAGCCUAUGUAUCUCACCCCCGAGAGAGGAGAAUAAGGUCAUGCGUAGUUCUGGCAGCUUGUCUUUUUGCUUUGAUCUAAUUUUUCAUUUUUUUUCUUUUAUUCGUUCUUUUCACUUUACGAUUUUUUUUUCUAACUCUAUUUUUCUUGACACUCUUUUUUUGGAAACAUUUUUGUCUCUUUUUUGUAACUUGUUGACUUUAUCUUUUUACUCGACACUAUUCUUUGAACUUUGCUUACUCUAUCUUGAUUCCAAAAGAGGGGUAUGAAAGAAAAUAACACUAAGGCUCAAAUAGGGUAAACAAAGGAUGACACAAUGUUUGGAUAGAAGAAUAAAAUGCCUUCAUCAUAUCAAUCCUUGAGAAUACAAGUACAUAACAUGCAAUUGGAAGUGAGAGAUGAAGAUCAUUUGCGACAUCUUUUUAAGCAGAUUGAGUCUGUGCAUCACUACUUCUUCUGUAAACUCCACCUUUUUGUACAUUCCUCACAUCAAAUGACUCAUACUUUCAUGGAGCUGCUUAUCCUCUUGUUUCUCUUGAUAUAGCGAUCACACGUCUACUAUUUGACCUAAUUGGGACUUGUCUUUCGAUCGAUGACCAAGUUAUUCUUGUGAUUCUCAAAAUAAUUGCCUUAACUUGUCACCAAAUNNNNNNNNNNNNNNNNNNNNNNNNNNNNNNNNNNNNNNNNNNNNNNNNNNNNNAAACAAACAACACAUAUUUAAAACACAAAGGAAAAUGAGACACUUCAUUUAGUCAAAACAAAAGAUAGAAGGAUUUGAACAUAAACAACAAAAGGACAAAAUAAGACAGAUCCCGAACUACAACCCUGAAAUAAUUCGGAGAACAGAAAAUAAAACAAAAUAAUCUACCAAACCCCUUCCUACUAAGGAGAGAGGUGACUUCUAAAUUGCUCAACCUGACAUCUUAGCCAUUGGUUUGCAUAUUAGCAUGACUAUAGUUUUGCUCACUGUCAAUCAUCUGCACCAUGAUUGAUUUAUCUUGAAUCAUCUUUUCAAUUUCUCUUUUCAAAGCACGAUAAUCUUCAAUACUGUGACCCUGAACAUCGGAAUGAUAUGUACAUCGUACAUUAGGAUCAACACUUAUUGAAUGUGGGUCAGGAGUAUACCCAAGGAGAGGAGUGAUAAUGCCCUGCUGUACCAAUCUCUGGAAUAAACUUGCAUACGACUCUCCAAUGGGUGUGAAGCUAUCCCUCGACUUCUGUCUCAUUUCAUUAUUUGGCUUAAAUUGAAAACCAGGCCUAGAAAAGCUUCGGUAUGUAUGUGGAGUUGGAGGAUAACUCGACAGAGUUGGCGCGCGCCUGUAUGGGUAAGAUAGGGGUUGAAUAUAUGGUUGCGCAUUAUAAACUUGAUAAGGAGAUGGGGGAAUGGAAUAUAAUGGAUUUUGGGAAGAAUUCUGUGGAACUUGGCCAUAAACUUGGGUUUGAGCCCGUGGGUAAAGAUGGUAUGGUCCUCUUGCCCGUGCCUGUUGUCCAACUAUAAUAGCAGAUGCAUCUUCCUCAUUCUUCUUUCCUCCAACACUUCCCGAACCUUUUUUAAUUGCUUGAGUAGUUGUUUUCAAUGUCGCAAAACUCACAAUGCGACCGAUCUUAAUUCUAUCCUCUACCAUCUCCCCCAUUUUAUGACCUCAAUAAAUGGAUUUCUUAAUGUAGGUAACAAGUGUUGAUAAUAUGUUUCAUCUUGCACUUGGAUAAACACCUCCACUAUCUUGCUUUUUUUCAUUGGCGGAUUACUCUAGCAUCUUGGUCGCGCCAUCUGAUCGCAUAGUCCCUGAAACUCUCAGUAUUCUUCUUUUUUAUGCCAGUUAGGGAUUUUUCGUCAGGUAUCAACUCCACAUUGAAUUGAAAUUGUUUCACAAAUCCAUUAGCUAGGUCAUCCCAACUAAUCCAUUUUUCAAUGUCUUGAUCAACAAACCAUUCCAAAGCUAGGCCUGAAAGACUCUCCCCGAAAUAAGCCAUGAGUAGUUCUUCCUUCCUUCUAGCACCCCUUAGCUAGUUGCAAUAGCGUCUCAAAUGUGCUAUAGCAUCAUCAUGUCCAUCAUACUUCUCAAACUUCAGCAUUUUAAAACCAAGAGGAAGAUGUACACCUGGAAACAUGUACAGAUCUUUAUAUCAGACACUUUUGUACCCCGCAAGUCUUUGCAAUUUUUUCAUAGUCAGUUCCAAACUUCUCAAUUUUUUGGCUAUUUUCUCUUGUUAUUCUGUCAUAAUAGGAUUCUCAGUGUUAGGAGGAAAUUCAGGCAGUUGAAGGCAAUCGUAAGGACCAGUCGACUUAAAUGUGGGCUCGGGAGCGUAAUGCUGAUCACUAAAAAUAUUCAAUACAGGGUCACUUGUAGUGUGAGGAAUCACAACCGUUAGAUUGACAUUAAAAGCAGGAGCUCCAGAAGGGAGUGGGGCUGCAAGAGCAUGAAUAGCAGGAGGAGCCGAGCAUGUGGUAAUUUUGUAUUGAGGAGUGAGAAAAUGAAUAUUGGAAGUGUUUGGAUACUGUUUCCCCGGAGUAGGUCCUGAUGCAUGUUGUGGCGUGUCGACCAAAAUAGGAAAUUGUACAUGUGACAAUGGAGGCAAACUAAAAAGAUAUUCCAGAUUAUCUACAGGAAAUAGAGGAGGCGGCAACCCAUUAGCCCAAGCUCGAUGCAUUUCUAUCAUUUGUUGCCUCAAUUUCCGAAUCUCUUCAUUAGCUCCUAUAUUCUCAUUCCUUAAACUCCCCAUCUGAUUAGUGAAAACAAACUUAGUAUCCUUGUUGGCCAUAACUUUCUCUGUGACUUGGAGCAAUAUGGAGGACCAGCCAAAAUGCCACAAACCAACCACCUUAAACUAACUGGACAAGAGAUAGCAAAUGCGUUAGAGUUCAACAAUUUUUCAAAACCUCUUCUUCUUUUUUUUUCUUGAAAAAAAUCAUCGAACCCUAGAAGGGUACCUACAUAUCUCACCUCCAAAAGGGGAGAAUCAGGUGUGCGUAGUUCGUGAAGUUUUGCCAAAAUGGCCAAUUAAACUCUUUUUUCUUUCUUGAAACGUGUCAAAAGAAUUGAUGAAUUUGUUUUUUUUUUACCAAAGAAAAAUCUUUUUGGGUUUUCGAUUUUUGAAUUUCAUGUGAAAAUGAAAGUUGAACCUAUUAAAGGAAAAUCUUUUUGUAGUUUUCUUUUAAAGACGUAUAUGAAAAGCCUACUCUAAAUGGAGAGUGAAGAAAUAUAUUUGGAUUUUCCAAAUAAGAUCCCCGAACCAAGAAUAGGCUGCCUACGUAUCUCACUUCCGAAAAAGGAGAAUCAGGGGUGCGUAGUUCGUCCAUAUUGGACAAAUAAAGAUUAACUAACAGACUGACCCUAACUUAAGAGACACAACCAAAGACCGAUGAAUAAAAGAAAAUAAAAAAAAUAGAAAUUGGGUUUUUAAUUUGACACCAACAACUAUGAAAGAAAAAACUUUUUUUUUUUUUUGAAAUUUUCGAAUUAUGAAUGCGUGGUAAACGAAUAAAAAGAUUUUUUUUUUUUUUUAUAUUUUCGUUAUAUGAAAUGUACAAAACUUCUACCAUUUUUUUAUUAUAUUUUUUUUGCAUUUUCCUUUAUAAAACCUCCUAUUGUAAAAACAAAUCUUUUUUUUUUGAAAUUUUUGAAUUGUGAAAAACAAAAAACAUAAAGAACUCUAAAAACUACAAAACUCUUUUACGGACUAAUUUUUUUCUUUUUCUUUUUUCUUUUUUCUUUUUUCUUUUUCACACCCUUUACUUUCUAACACAUGCUUUACCCCACAUCAGUCUGUCAAAUGACCACGUUAUCUUCAAAGGUGCAACAUUUAGCACGUAGGAAUGCUUUAGAGGUAAGUCUCCUACAAAGGACCAAGUGGACCCGCUAGGUCUCAAUAUGAUGCAUAUAAGCAUGACAUAAAGGCUGACCUACGUUGGGGUUCACUAACAAGGCCAUUCGGGGGAGCAUAUGGUCGAUAGUGGCUGCUUAGCUUUUCAUCUACUCCAUACAUCCAACGGCUCCCCCCCAAAAUAAAGGUGACUCAACUAAAGUUCGUGCGCACGACGUGCGCUCCGAGACUUGUUGCAGAAAGAAUUGACUCGGGUUAUGCAAAUGAUGUCCGAUAUAAAGCGGUAACACAUAAGGAAAACUGCAAACAAAGAGCACAGAAACACACAACAGUGAUAACAAUAACACAAACAAUAAUCACAAACAUUGUUUCUACACCCAUAAUGCAAAACAAAGCUGAUAUGACUCCGAAAAUAAGCCCAAAUUCUGAAACGUCCCAAGUGGAGUCGCCAGACCUGUCACACUCCUUUUUCGUACUCUAAAAGAUUAAUUUUUAAGUUUGAAAGGGUUUUAUUAUUAAGUAACAAAAAAUGAAAAUUCUGUUCCAAAAAGGAUUUUCUAUAAUUAAAUUCAGAGUCGCCACUUGGCAUAAUUCGGUGUGCCAAGUCACCUUUGGAAAAUUCUUUUCGAAAUGGUUUGACUCUUUAAAACUAGUUUGCAAAUAGAGAUUCAGGCUAAGAAAUUUUGUUGACCGAGGGGAAGGUGUUAGGCACCCCUCGAUCCCGUGGUUUGACCACGGUCGCUUGGUGGAGCGUAUAGGCUAAUUUGACAUUAUGAAUAUAUAAACCACACAAAACAUGCAAAACAAUCAAUCAAGCAAACAAGAUAAAACAAUCCAAAAUUUAGUGUCCAGUCCAAAAAUAAAAAAAUGUAUAAAAAUAAAUCCUACUCUAAAUUAAUUCUAGACUAAUGCUCUACCCGACGCAUCGGGCCUUCAUCACGAACGUCCUCCGGGUACAUGAUACCUCAGGGCAUUCCCCAGUGAAUAAAUAUAUACAGAUACUUCGUGGCAUUCCCCGGUCAAAUUAUACAAUUGAUUCAAAAGUGAUAAAAUCAAACCAUUCAAUCAAAUUUCAAACAUUCAAUCAACCCACAAUCUCUAGAUUUGCCUACCCGACCUAUGUCUUGCCUAUUCCAAUCGGCGUAUCCUGAUACUACCAAAUUCAAUUAACGUUUAUUUCAAGUCAAACAACUAAUGAAUCAAACUAAUUAAAAUUCACUAAUUAUAUCAAGUUUCAAUUCUCGCCCCACUUAUUCUUAAAGAUUAAACCAAUUCUAUACACAUUUCAUCAAUCAAGUUUUCAACUUCAGAUUCAACAUCAAAUCAACAAACAACGAUGAAAUUCAAUCAUGUCAAACACACAAAUCAUUCAUAACUAUGUAGAGAUUAAGAGGCGAAAGGAUAGAAUUGGACCUCAAGUGUUUUCGAUUGACUUAAAGGGAUAAGUAAGAGUCGUCCGAGAGCCUCAACGGGUACCAAAUCUCGACUAUGCUCCAACUCCAACACGGAUAUCUCCAGAAUCCAAUUCGAACUCAAAAAUAGUGAACACCCAAAAUAAAAUACGAACAAAACCGAGACUGGAAGACGAAAUUCACCAGGACUAAACUGAAUCUCUCCAGAAUUAGAUUGAACCUCACUGGAAUUAGACCCAAAACUGGUUAAGUUGACUGAUUCAAGUCAGGUACCAUGGUCAAAAUCCAUAGUUACCUCUCCGUCGGAACUCCGGUGAGCUCCAACAGUGACCGAAAUAAGCAGAAAGAGAACACAACAACAUUUUUUGGUGAAAAGAUGCUAUUUCUUGGCCUCGAACGCCGAAACAGUUAAACCCCAGUCCCUUUUCUCUCCUCUCUUGCUCAGACAUCUCUCCUAUUCCAUUCACUCUAUCCCCUGUCGAUCCUCAUCUCCAUCCCUCUUCUCGAUUUCAUUGUUCCCCCUGUGAUUCACCUCGCCUUUCACUGUUUUUCGCCCUUUUUUAUGUGAUUUUUUGUAUGGGUGUGCGUGUGUAUGACUGUAUUUGAGAGUGGAAUGGUGAGUUGUGUGUGUGUUAUUCUGUGUGUUUGUGUGAUUUCCUUUUGUGAAGAAGGAAGGAAGGUUUUUGUUUUUUGUCUCCCUCCCAGAGAGAGGAAAUAAUGGUAUUUGUCUCUUUUUCCCUCACCCCCCCCC
This 18750-nucleotide long non-coding RNA is filed under the name Capsicum annuum. RNAcentral describes it as "long non-coding RNA (CANN_LNC012195)". Lineage: Eukaryota; Viridiplantae; Streptophyta; Magnoliopsida; Solanales; Solanaceae. The record is from RNAcentral.